Molecule: ribosomal RNA, 253 nt
Filed under: uncultured bacterium
Lineage: Bacteria
Description: partial 16S ribosomal RNA
Rfam family: Bacterial small subunit ribosomal RNA
Source: RNAcentral
UACGAAGGGGGCUAGCGUUGUUCGGAAUUACUGGGCGUAAAGCGUAUGCAGGCGGACUUUUAAGUCGGGGGUGAAAUCCCGAGGCUCAACCUCGGAACUGCCUUCGAUACUGGAAGUCUUGAGUCCGGGAGAGGUGAGUGGAACUCCGAGUGUAGAGGUGAAAUUCGUAGAUAUUCGGAAGAACACCAGUGGCGAAGGCGGCUCACUGGCCCGGUACUGACGCUGAGACACGAAAGCGUGGGGAGCAAACAGG